AUUCAGCUAACAAGUCCCAAAUAGGACGAAAUGCGCGUCCUGGCUGUAU
Molecule: non-coding RNA, 49 nt
Organism: Trichobilharzia regenti
Lineage: Eukaryota; Metazoa; Platyhelminthes; Trematoda; Strigeidida; Schistosomatidae
Source: Rfam